GGUUCCAUAGUGUAGCGGUUAUCACAUCUGCUUUACAUGCAGAAGGUCCUGGGUUCGAGCCCCAGUGGAACCA
Sorex fumeus (smoky shrew) is the source of this 73-nucleotide non-coding RNA. The record is from the annotation of a RefSeq genome assembly. Lineage: Eukaryota; Metazoa; Chordata; Mammalia; Eulipotyphla; Soricidae.